GGAAACUUGGUUUGAUGGUAAAACACUUCACUCUAGACCAUGAAGUCUUGGGUUCAAAUCUCAAAUCCCCCA
This is a non-coding RNA of Eragrostis curvula (weeping love grass), 72 nucleotides long. Lineage: Eukaryota; Viridiplantae; Streptophyta; Magnoliopsida; Poales; Poaceae. The record is from the annotation of a GenBank genome assembly.